RNAcentral lists this ribosomal RNA (253 nucleotides) under uncultured bacterium. RNAcentral describes it as "partial 16S ribosomal RNA". It matches the Rfam family "Bacterial small subunit ribosomal RNA", at positions 524 to 776 of the family's 1533-position model. The record is from RNAcentral.
UACGUAGGGGGCAAGCGUUGUCCGGAAUCAUUGGGCGUAAAGAGCGCGUAGGCGGUCCGGUAAGUCCGCUCUGAAAGCCCGGGGCUCAACCCCGGGAGGCGGGCGGAUACUGUCGGGCUAGAGUCCGGAAGAGGCGAGUGGAAUUCCUGGUGUAGCGGUGAAAUGCGCAGAUAUCAGGAGGAACACCGAUGGCGAAGGCAGCUCGCUGGGCUGACACUGACGCUCAUGCACGAAAGCGUGGGGAGCAAACAGG